Molecule: ribosomal RNA, 440 nt
Filed under: uncultured bacterium
Lineage: Bacteria
Description: partial 16S ribosomal RNA
Rfam family: Bacterial small subunit ribosomal RNA
Source: RNAcentral
CCUACGGGAGGCAGCAGUAGGGAAUAUUGCUCAAUGGGCGAAACCCUGAAGCAGCAACGCCGCGUGGAGGAUGAAGGUUUUAGGAUUGUAAACUCCUUUUGUGAGAGAAGAUAAUGACGGUAUCUCACGAAUAAGCACCGGCGAACUUCGUGCCAGCAGCCGCGGUAAUACGGAGGGUGAAAGCGUGACUCGGAAUCACUGGGCGUAAAGAGUGCGCAGGCGGGCUUGUAAGUCAGAUGUGAAAUCCUGUAGCUUAACUAGAGAACUGCAUUUGAAACUUUGAGUCUUGAGUGUGGGAGAGGUAGGUGGAAUUCUUGGUGUAGGGGUAAAAUGCGUAGAUAUAAAGAAGAAUACUCAUUGCGAAGGCGACCUACUGGAACAUUACUGACGCUGAUGCACGAAAGCGUGGGGAGCAAACAGGAUUAGAUACCCGUGUAGUC